RNAcentral lists this ribosomal RNA (901 nucleotides) under uncultured Hydrogenedentota bacterium. RNAcentral's name for it is "bacterial SSU rRNA". It matches the Rfam family "Bacterial small subunit ribosomal RNA", at positions 28 to 916 of the family's 1533-position model. Lineage: Bacteria; Pseudomonadati; Candidatus Hydrogenedentota. The record is from RNAcentral.
AACGAACGCUGGCGGCAGGCUUCAUACAUGCAAGUCGAACGAUUAAAGCUCCUUCGGGAGUGUAUAGAGUGGCGAACGGGUGAGUAACAGGUGGAUAAUCUGCCUUUUGGUGUGGGAUACCGGCUGGAAACGGCCGCUAAUACCGCAUGUGUCAUGAGGCCUUCGGUCCUUAUGAAGAAAGGCGCUGCAAGGCGUCACCAAGAGAUGAGUCCGCCCCCCAUUAGCUAGUUGGUGUGAUAAUAGCGCACCAAGGCUGUGAUGGGUAGCCGAGCUGAGAGGUUGAUCGGCCACACUGGGACUGAGACACGGCCCAGACACCUACGGGUGGCAGCAGUAGGGAAUAUUGGACAAUGGGCGCAAGCCUGAUCCAGCCAUGCCGCGUGAGUGAUGAAGGCCUUCGGGUCGUAAAGCUCUUUUCUGAGGGAAGAACUGCCAUGGGAGGUAAUGCCCAAGUUGACGGUACCUCAGGAAUAAGGACGGCUAACUCCGUGCCAGCAGCCGCGGUAAUACGGAGGUUCCUAGCGUUGUUCGGAAUUACUGGGCGUAAAGGGAGCGCAGGCGGAUUGAUAAGUCUAAAGUGGAAUCCCGGGGCUCAACCUCGGACGUGCUUUGGAUACUGUCAGUCUUGAGUUCGUGAGAGGAAGGCGGAAUUCAGGGUGUAGCGGUGAAAUGCUUAGAUAUCCUGAGGAACACCAGUGGCGAAAGCGGCCUUCUGGCACGAAACUGACGCUGAGGCUCGAAAGCGUGGGUAGCGAACGGGAUUAGAUACCCCGGUAGUCCACGCCGUAAACGUUGUGCACUAGGUGCGGGGGGUAUCGACCCCUUCCGUGCCGCAGCUAACGCAUUAAGUGCACCGCCUGGGGAGUACGGUCGCAAGACUGAAACUCAAAGGAAUUGACGG